AGAGUUUGAUCCUGGCUCAGGAUGAACGCUGGCGGCGUGCCUAACACAUGCAAGUCGAACGCGCUCCAUUCGGUAGCAAUACCGAUGAAGAGCGAGUGGCGAACGGGUGAGUAACACAUGAGCAACCUGCCCCGAAGACUGGGACAACACCGGGAAACCGGUGCUAAUACCGGAUAUCCCUAUCGGACCGCAUGAUCCGAUAAGGAAAUGUUUUUCGCUUCGGGAGGGGCUCGUGGCCUAUCAGCUAGUUGGUGAGGUAACGGCCCACCAAGGCAUCGACGGGUAGCUGGUCUGAGAGGACGAUCAGCCACACUGGGACUGAGACACGGCCCAGACUCCUACGGGAGGCAGCAGUGGGGAAUCUUGCGCAAUGGGCGAAAGCCUGACGCAGCAACGCCGCGUGGAGGACGAAGGCUUUCUGAGUUGUAAACUCCUUUCAGCAGGGACGAUAGUGACGGUACCUGCAGAAGAAGCACCGGCCAACUACGUGCCAGCAGCCGCGGUGAUACGUAGGGUGCAAGCGUUAUCCGGAUUUAUUGGGCGUAAAGAGCUCGUAGGCGGUUUGAUAAGUCGGGUGUGAAACCUCCAGGCUCAACCUGGAGCCGCCACUCGAUACUGUCAUGACUUGAAUUCGGUAGGGGACCACGGAAUUCCUGGUGUAGCGGUGAAAUGCGCAGAUAUCAGGAGGAACACCAGCAGCGAAGGCGGUGGUCUGGGCCGACAUUGACGCUGAGGAGCGAAAGCGUGGGGAGCGAACAGGAUUAGAUACCCNNGUAGUCC
RNAcentral lists this ribosomal RNA (780 nucleotides) under uncultured bacterium. RNAcentral describes it as "bacterial SSU rRNA". It matches the Rfam family "Bacterial small subunit ribosomal RNA", at positions 8 to 796 of the family's 1533-position model. The record is from RNAcentral.